Molecule: ribosomal RNA, 1341 nt
Filed under: Bacillus thuringiensis
Lineage: Bacteria; Bacillati; Bacillota; Bacilli; Caryophanales; Bacillaceae
Description: partial 23S ribosomal RNA
Rfam family: Bacterial large subunit ribosomal RNA
Source: RNAcentral
AAGGCUGAGCUGUGAUGGGGAAGCUCCUUAUGGAGCGAAGUCUUUGAUUCCCCGCUGCCAAGAAAAGCUUCUAGCGAGAUAAAAGGUGCCUGUACCGCAAACCGACACAGGUAGGCGAGGAGAGAAUCCUAAGGUGUGCGAGAGAACUCUGGUUAAGGAACUCGGCAAAAUGACCCCGUAACUUCGGGAGAAGGGGUGCUUUCUUAACGGAAAGCCGCAGUGAAUAGGCCCAAGCGACUGUUUAGCAAAAACACAGCUCUCUGCGAAGCCGUAAGGCGAAGUAUAGGGGGUGACACCUGCCCGGUGCUGGAAGGUUAAGGAGAGGGGUUAGCGUAAGCGAAGCUCUGAACUGAAGCCCCAGUAAACGGCGGCCGUAACUAUAACGGUCCUAAGGUAGCGAAAUUCCUUGUCGGGUAAGUUCCGACCCGCACGAAAGGUGUAACGAUUUGGGCACUGUCUCAACCAGAGACUCGGUGAAAUUAUAGUACCUGUGAAGAUGCAGGUUACCCGCGACAGGACGGAAAGACCCCGUGGAGCUUUACUGUAGCCUGAUAUUGAAUUUUGGUACAGUUUGUACAGGAUAGGCGGGAGCCAUUGAAACCGGAGCGCUAGCUUCGGUGGAGGCGCUGGUGGGAUACCGCCCUGACUGUAUUGAAAUUCUAACCUACGGGUCUUAUCGACCCGGGAGACAGUGUCAGGUGGGCAGUUUGACUGGGGCGGUCGCCUCCUAAAGUGUAACGGAGGCGCCCAAAGGUUCCCUCAGAAUGGUUGGAAAUCAUUCGUAGAGUGCAAAGGCAUAAGGGAGCUUGACUGCGAGACCUACAAGUCGAGCAGGGACGAAAGUCGGGCUUAGUGAUCCGGUGGUUCCGCAUGGAAGGGCCAUCGCUCAACGGAUAAAAGCUACCCCGGGGAUAACAGGCUUAUCUCCCCCAAGAGUCCACAUCGACGGGGAGGUUUGGCACCUCGAUGUCGGCUCAUCGCAUCCUGGGGCUGUAGUCGGUCCCAAGGGUUGGGCUGUUCGCCCAUUAAAGCGGUACGCGAGCUGGGUUCAGAACGUCGUGAGACAGUUCGGUCCCUAUCCGUCGUGGGCGUAGGAAAUUUGAGAGGAGCUGUCCUUAGUACGAGAGGACCGGGAUGGACGCACCGCUGGUGUACCAGUUGUUCUGCCAAGGGCAUAGCUGGGUAGCUAUGUGCGGAAGGGAUAAGUGCUGAAAGCAUCUAAGCAUGAAGCCCCCCUCAAGAUGAGAUUUCCCAUAGCGUAAGCUAGUAAGAUCCCUGAAAGAUGAUCAGGUUGAUAGGUUCGAGGUGGAAGCAUGGUGACAUGUGGAGCUGACGAAUACU